AGAGUUUGAUCAUGGCUCAGAGCGAACGCUGGCGGCAGGCCUAACACAUGCAAGUCGAGCGGCCGUAGCAAUACGGAAGCGGCAGACGGGAGAGUAACACGUGGGAACGUACCCUUCAGUUCGGAAUAGGCCAGGGAAACUUGGGUUAAUACCGGAUACGUCCGUAAGGAGAAAGAUUUAUCGCUGAAGGAUCGGCCCGC
RNAcentral lists this ribosomal RNA (200 nucleotides) under uncultured bacterium. RNAcentral describes it as "partial 16S ribosomal RNA". It matches the Rfam family "Bacterial small subunit ribosomal RNA", at positions 8 to 234 of the family's 1533-position model. The record is from RNAcentral.